UUAGGGAUUGUUGUGUUUCUUGUAUGUUUGCUUUAUUAUUCUUUCUUCCCUUCUUAAUAUUUGCCUGUUUGAUUCAUUGAGUUUCUACGUUCAAAGAGCAUAGAUGUUAAUAAUUCAUGACAGUAGGAGCUAGCAACUAAGGAAUCACAAUCCGGACAUGACCAUUCUGUUUGAGGUCAACAAUUUUGGUCACAAAAACGCUAAACUUACAUCGUUUAAACAUAGAGACAUAACCUAAAAAUCUCUCUCAUAUUUCUUCACCCAAAUGUUCCCUUUCUCUCUCCCCCAGUCCUCUAGCUGAAAGGAAAACCCAAUUCCCAAAGCUUUGCUUCCUUCCAAUCUCAGCGUUGACCUUAUUUCCUCAUCCCAUCUAAGGGGACGGGUAUAGGGCCGCUGUGGGACUUCUUUCUGCUGUAGGAAUCUGGGAGUGUGUGUUUUUGCAGGUCGUUGAUUCAACCAUGUUUAUGACAAGAUUUAUUGGGAGAACUCUCUUUGCUGCAGUUAAAUCUGAAACUUCUGCUGCUGCAGCAGCAACUGGGUAUGCUCGUAACCCUCUUGAGGCGUUCUUCGAGGCAGAUAGGACCCAGGAUGAGGAUAAACGUGUUGUCUAU
This 611-nucleotide unclassified non-coding RNA is filed under the name Hevea brasiliensis (rubber tree). The record is from RNAcentral. Lineage: Eukaryota; Viridiplantae; Streptophyta; Magnoliopsida; Malpighiales; Euphorbiaceae.